Molecule: ribosomal RNA, 301 nt
Filed under: uncultured archaeon
Lineage: Archaea
Description: bacterial SSU rRNA
Rfam family: Archaeal small subunit ribosomal RNA
Source: RNAcentral
GUGUCAGCCGCCGCGGUAACACCGGCGGCCCGAGUGGUAACCGAUUUUAUUGGGUUUAAAGGGUCCGUAGCCGGCCUAUUAAGUCUCUUGGGAAAUCUGGCGGCUUAAUCGUCAGACGUUCAAGAGAUACUGAUGGGCUUGGGACCGGUAGAGGUGGGAGGUACUCCAGGGGUAGAGGUGAAAUUUUGUAAUCCUUGGGGGACCAUCGAUGGCGAAGGCAAUCCCCUGGGCCUGCACUGACGCUCAUGCACGAAAGCGUGGGGAGCAAACAGGAUUAGAUACCCUGGUAGUCCACGCCCUA